RNAcentral lists this transfer RNA (103 nucleotides) under Cycas tanqingii. RNAcentral's name for it is "tRNA-Thr". The stretch from base 1 to 53 matches the Rfam family "tRNA", at positions 20 to 71 of the family's 71-position model. From Rfam's summary of the family: Transfer RNA (tRNA) molecules are approximately 80 nucleotides in length. Their secondary structure includes four short double-helical elements and three loops (D, anti-codon, and T loops). Further hydrogen bonds mediate the characteristic L-shaped molecular structure. tRNAs have two regions of fundamental functional importance: the anti-codon, which is responsible for specific mRNA codon recognition, and the 3' end, to which the tRNAs corresponding amino acid is attached (by aminoacyl-tRNA synthetases). tRNAs cope with the degeneracy of the genetic code in two manners: having more than one tRNA (with a specific anti-codon) for a particular amino acid; and 'wobble' base-pairing, i.e. permitting non-standard base-pairing at the 3rd anti-codon position. RNAcentral also lists the same sequence under 2 other names. The record is from RNAcentral. Lineage: Eukaryota; Viridiplantae; Streptophyta; Cycadopsida; Cycadales; Cycadaceae.
AGAGCAUCGCACUUGUAAUGCGAUGGUCAUCGGUUCGAUUCCGAUAGCCGGCUCUUUGUUAUUCCCUUCAUUCCUCCUCAUGAUCUAUAAUGUUUUGUUAGGA